Molecule: long non-coding RNA, 313 nt
Filed under: Phaseolus vulgaris (common bean)
Lineage: Eukaryota; Viridiplantae; Streptophyta; Magnoliopsida; Fabales; Fabaceae
Description: long non-coding RNA (PVUL_LNC004214)
Source: RNAcentral
UGGUUCAUAUGUAGCCAGCCUUGUUAAGGCUCCACUGCUAUGUGAAAACCAGCCUCAGGGCUCCCCCUCCAGUUUGAACCGAUGGAGAACCACUAAGCAGGCGGCUCAAAUUCCAUUUUACCCCUCCAUUAUCCUAUCUUAAACCAAUGGAAAUGGAACUGGAUCAAUGGAACUUAAGCCAAUUUGCUAAUACCAUCAUAAUUGCAGAGGGAGCCCUUAUAUGGUUAAAAGGCUUGGAGUGGGCAGGCCAAACAUACAUAGCCUUGUUCCAUCACCCUAUUGCCCUCACACGAGUUACAAGCUAGCGUUACUG